Molecule: ribosomal RNA, 460 nt
Filed under: uncultured bacterium
Lineage: Bacteria
Description: partial 16S ribosomal RNA
Rfam family: Bacterial small subunit ribosomal RNA
Source: RNAcentral
CCUACGGGUGGCAGCAGUGGGGAAUAUUGGUCAAUGGGCGCGAGCCUGAACCAGCCAAGUAGCGUGAAGGAUGACUGCCCUACGGGUUGUAAACUUCUUUUAUAAAGGAAUAAAGUGAGGCACGUGUGCCUUUUUGUAUGUACUUUAUGAAUAAGGAUCGGCUAACUCCGUGCCAGCAGCCGCGGUAAUACGGAGGAUCCGAGCGUUAUCCGGAUUUAUUGGGUUUAAAGGGAGCGUAGAUGGGUUGUUAAGUCAGUUGUGAAAGUUUGCGGCUCAAACGUAAAAUUGCAAUUGAUACUGGCAGACUUGAGUACAGUUGAGGUAGGCGGAAUUCGUGGUGUAGCGGUGAAAUGCGUAGAUAUAACGAAGAACACCGAUUGCGAAGGCAGCUUACUAAACUGACACUGACACUGAUGCUCGAAAGUGUGGGUAGCAAACAGGAUUAGAUACCCGUGUAGUC